GCUGCACUUUGAUGAUAGUUUGGCUCCCUCUACUGAUACUUGUGAAGAAAGCAGCCCACCAGUAUUUGAGUAUAUAGC
RNAcentral lists this small nucleolar RNA (78 nucleotides) under Sphenodon punctatus (tuatara). RNAcentral describes it as "Small nucleolar RNA SNORD100 (ENSSPUG00000013350.1)". Lineage: Eukaryota; Metazoa; Chordata; Lepidosauria; Sphenodontia; Sphenodontidae. The record is from RNAcentral.